Molecule: long non-coding RNA, 624 nt
Organism: Vitis riparia (riverbank grape)
Lineage: Eukaryota; Viridiplantae; Streptophyta; Magnoliopsida; Vitales; Vitaceae
Exons: 3
Source: RefSeq, a predicted model, not a curated record
UGAUUCUUUCAGUCUCUUCUUGAAGUAUCCACUCUUCGAAAACAAUGGGCACUGCAAAUCAAAAAACAUACGAGAACUAGAAUAUUGAAGGCCCUGUUUCCAACCCGAAUGCAGACCGACACUGGCAGACCAGUCUCCUGGCUCCUGCAAAAACAUCCACAGAAAAAACCAGGGCACUAACAUUUGGAGAAGAGAAAGGACUUGAGGCCACUGAACUACAUUUUGGGCUUACAACUUCCAUAGCUAUAGCUCAUGGAAAGAACUCAAAAGACUAGAGUCACUAAAAGGUGAAGCUCAACCCAAGCUUUUGAAUUCAUUUCUCCAUCUUUUCAUGCUCAUAAAUGGUCGAAACCCGGUUCAGGGAUCGAUGCGAGGAGUAGAAGGGGUUCUAGAAACCGAAAAACCAGUGGGAAUUGAAGAGAAUGAAGGAGAAAGCAGAGGUGGUUUCAGAAUACAAGUGCAGUAUUUUUCUAGUGAUUAGUCAAAUGCACACGAGUUGCCUAAAAAUCCACAUUUUAAGGCUUCAAAAACGUUCUCGAGUGUCGAGAAGUUGAAUUCUGAUGCAAAUUUUCUUCGCCUCGGACAGUUGAAAAUGGUGAGCUCUUCAAAUUCUCUUUCAUGUGA